Molecule: ribosomal RNA, 497 nt
Filed under: uncultured bacterium
Lineage: Bacteria
Description: partial 16S ribosomal RNA
Rfam family: Bacterial small subunit ribosomal RNA
Source: RNAcentral
GACGAACGCUGGCGGCGUGCCUAAUACAUGCAAGUUGAGCGCUGAAGGUUGGUACUUGUACCGACUGGAUGAGCAGCGAACGGGUGAGUAACGCGUGGGGAAUCUGCCUUUGAGCGGGGGACAACAUUUGGAAACGAAUGCUAAUACCGCAUAAAAACUUUAAACACAAGUUUUAAGUUUGAAAGAUGCAAUUGCAUCACUCAAAGAUGAUCCCGCGUUGUAUUAGCUAGUUGGUGAGGUAAAGGCUCACCAAGGCGAUGAUACAUAGCCGACCUGAGAGGGUGAUCGGCCACAAUGGGACUGAGACACGGCCCAAACUCCUACGGGAGGCAGCAGUAGGGAAUCUUCGGCAAUGGACGAAAGUCUGACCGAGCAACGCCGCGUGAGUGAAGAAGGUUUUCGGAUCGUAAAACUCUGUUGGUAGAGAAGAAAGUUGGUGAGAGUGGAAAGCUCAUCAAGUGACGGUAACUACCCAGAAAGGGACGGCUAACUACGUG